Molecule: ribosomal RNA, 253 nt
Filed under: uncultured bacterium
Lineage: Bacteria
Description: partial 16S ribosomal RNA
Rfam family: Bacterial small subunit ribosomal RNA
Source: RNAcentral
UACGGGGGGGGCAAGCGUUGUUCGGAAUUACUGGGCGUAAAGGGCUCGUAGGCGGCCAACUAAGUCAUACGUGAAAUCCCUCGGCUUAACCGGGGAACUGCGUCUGAUACUGGAUGGCUUGAGUUCGGGAGAGGGAUGCGGAAUUCCAGGUGUAGCGGUGAAAUGCGCAGAUAUCAGGAGGAACACCGGUGGCGAAGGCGGUUCUCUGGGCAUGUCCUGACGCUGAGGAGCGAAAGCGUGGGGAGCGAACAGG